This 116-nucleotide ribosomal RNA is filed under the name Pteropus alecto (black flying fox). Lineage: Eukaryota; Metazoa; Chordata; Mammalia; Chiroptera; Pteropodidae. The record is from RNAcentral. RNAcentral also lists the same sequence under 1 other name.
AUCUACGGCCAUGCCUUCCUGAACAAGCCCGAUGUCUGAUCUUGGAAGCUAAGUAGGGUCAGGCCUGGUUAGUACUUCGAUGGGAGACUACCUAGGAAGACCAGGUGCUGUAGGCA